UACGGAGGGUGCAAGCGUUAUCCGGAUUCACUGGGUUUAAAGGGUGCGUAGGUGGGCAAGUAAGUCAGUGGUGAAAUCUCCGGGCUUAACCCGGAAUCUGCCAUUGAUACUAUUUGUCUUGAAUACUGUGGAGGUCAGCGGAAUAUGUCAUGUAGCGGUGAAAUGCUUAGAUAUGACAUAGAACACCAAUUGCGAAGGCAGCUGGCUACACAAAUAUUGACACUGAGGCACGAAAGCGUGGGGAUCAAACAGG
RNAcentral lists this ribosomal RNA (253 nucleotides) under uncultured bacterium. RNAcentral's name for it is "partial 16S ribosomal RNA". It matches the Rfam family "Bacterial small subunit ribosomal RNA", at positions 524 to 776 of the family's 1533-position model. The record is from RNAcentral.